GAUGAACGCUGGCGGCGUGCCUAAUACAUGCAAGUCGAGCGAACAGACGAGGAGCUUGCUCCUCUGACGUUAGCGGCGGACGGGUGAGUAACACGUGGAUAACCUACCUAUAAGACUGGGAUAACUUCGGGAAACCGGAGCUAAUACCGGAUAAUAUAUUGAACCGCAUGGUUCAAUAGUGAAAGACGGUUUUGCUGUCACUUAUAGAUGGAUCCGCGCCGCAUUAGCUAGUUGGUAAGGUAACGGCUUACCAAGGCAACGAUGCGUAGCCGACCUGAGAGAGGGGACGGCCACACUGGAGCUGAGUCAGGGACGAGACUCCUGCGGGAGGCAGCAGGAGGUAAUGUUCCGCAAUGGGCGGAAGCCUGACGGAGCAACGCAGGGUGAGUGAGGAAGGUCUUCGGUUCGUAAUGCUCUGUGAUUUGGGAUGAGCAAAUGUGUAAGUAACUAUGCACGUGUUGACGGUACCUAGUCAGAAAGCCACGGCUAACUACGUG
RNAcentral lists this ribosomal RNA (497 nucleotides) under uncultured bacterium. RNAcentral describes it as "partial 16S ribosomal RNA". It matches the Rfam family "Bacterial small subunit ribosomal RNA", at positions 28 to 507 of the family's 1533-position model. The record is from RNAcentral.